Long non-coding RNA from Dermacentor albipictus, 1385 nucleotides. RefSeq lists it as uncharacterized. The record is from RefSeq and is a predicted model, not a curated record. Lineage: Eukaryota; Metazoa; Arthropoda; Arachnida; Ixodida; Ixodidae.
UGCCAGAUUGCACCGCGCCAGCCGGCACUAUUCUGGCCUACAGUUCGGCGGCGCUGAAGAGAUUGCGCCGAGGCUACGCAUUCGCCAAACGCAAAAGCGCUCAGUCACGGCGCACUUGUGCGCAUACGCGGCUGCAAGAGCUGGUCGCAGUGGUGCUGUGGGUCAUGUUCCCGCGCCGAACUAUGCAAUAGAGAAAUUUUCGACGAUCCUGGCGUCGCCGCGACGUAAUGUAUCCAACUUCGCCGGGUGCUACGCGGCACGCUGGAAACGCCGGACUAGAUCAGUGCCUUUAAAGCCGGUGCAGCGAGCAUAUGUGUGUGUCCACGCAAACUCCGAUGGACGCUCUCAAGCCGUGACAAUCGAACGGUGGCCUAGGGUGUGUAGUCCGCUCGUGCACUCCAACCAAACUUUUCAAAACUACAUUCCGUACACAGGAGCAUUUAUUAUGGAGCUGCAAUUCAGUGAAGAAAGAAGUCUACGUUCACGCCGAAGCUCUAAGAAGCCGUGCGAUGCUGGAGCAGCGUGGGGCAGCAUCAACAGCUGUAUCCGGGUGGCAUUCAGGACGUGUUCCACGGAAUCCCUAGUCCUCGUGGCAGCAGCAGAGUGAUUCGCAUGAACCGCGUCCCACUUUUGGCAGGCUUCGCCGAACGGCAAACCGUCCCGCAUCACCAGUGUGGUGGCAUUUUCCACAACCAAGGAUGAUGUGCCCUCCCAGCGUUCUCCAAUUGCAGCCAUCUUGCUCCAGCUGACCCCAACUUGUGCCUGCAGAUUUCCUAAUUUCAUUACACCACCGUAUUGUCUGCCUUCAUUGACUACGCUUGCUUUCCCUUGGUACGCACUGUGCAUCUCUAACCGACCGCCGGUUAUCUUCCCUACGCCCUAUAUGACCGGCCAAGCUCGAUCUCUUUCUCUCAUUGCCCACUAGGAUAUCAGCUACCCCAUUCCGGUUUGCUCUCUGAUCCCAACCUCUGUCUUCCUGGCUUUCAACGUUACGCCUCUGAUGUUUCGUUCAAUCGCCCGUUGUAUGGUCUUUAACUUCUGAGUUCCUUUGAAAAACUCAAAGUUUCUGACCAGUAUGUUAGUGCCGGUAAAACGCCAUGGCUGUACACUUUUCAGAUAUAGCUGUAAGCUGUCGUUCAUUACGCUAGUAAUGUUUGCUGUUUAGGCCACAACUCAUGUUAUAGUAUAGCUAAAGGACGGAUGUGGAAUACAAGACAAUGCAAGCAGUUCUGUCUAUAGGUCUAAUUUGUCUGCCUGCGCUUCGAUGUCAUCAGCAUCUUCCAUGUUCCGUUUUCUUAGAUUUUGUGAGGGAGCCUGUGAUUACUGCGUGAUUAAUAUUGCAGUGACCCUAUACGUACUAUUAAAAUAGCGCUUAUUAACCAGUA